Non-coding RNA from Vigna angularis (adzuki bean), 102 nucleotides. Lineage: Eukaryota; Viridiplantae; Streptophyta; Magnoliopsida; Fabales; Fabaceae. The record is from Rfam.
UGUCAUCGCGAUGAAGAUGCCAAAGCUCCCUCUUCUGAGAUUUGAAUUUGAGGAAAUUUGCUGGCAGAAUCGAACCAUAAAAUCUUGGCCAUCACUGAGUGA